Molecule: long non-coding RNA, 1269 nt
Organism: Heterocephalus glaber (naked mole-rat)
Lineage: Eukaryota; Metazoa; Chordata; Mammalia; Rodentia; Bathyergidae
Source: Ensembl
CCCAAUAAUCAGUCUCCAUGGUAGUUAGUGAUGAUUUUUUGGCUCAUCCUUGUAAAUUUUAUACUUUCCUGUGAUUGGCUUACACAAUGAACUACAUAAAGUCAAUUAUUUGUGCUUUAUUAUGAAUGAAGUAUAAUGGAUACUGUGGAAAUCAAAUUAUACUGCAAAUUUGUACGAAUUAUUGGGUUAAUCCAUACAUCCAUUCGUAAAUACUUUAGAUUGCAGUUCAAGAAGUGAUUAGGGUGCUUUUAAAUAAUUUCAUUUUUAGAAAGUAGCUGUAGUCUGAAGUCAAGGUUUAGGUGAAUUGGUUCAGGUCCAAUAACUUCUAGGACCUAUCUUUUAUGUAAAGUGCUAAGAGCUGGAUUGUCAAUGGCACGAUAUUUUAGGUUGAUACAUAGUACAAAAUAAUCAGAAGAUACAGUAAUAAAAUGAGGUUGAUUGAAUAAAGUGAGCCAAGGAUCUAAAUAGAUGUCAGUUGGGAGUACUUGGUGAUGUGAAAACCUGGUUUUUAAGAAAUUCCUAUCUGGGUUUUCUGUUGGAAAAAAUCUUAAAAAGCCUCACUUUGGGGCUAUAGUGCACCAUAAGGUUGAUGCUGCUUCUGUUAUGUUUUCUUUGAUACUUCAUUUAUGUAGAGGUUUAUUAGAAAUGGUUUUAUUUUUUCAACAUAAGCUUAGAAUAUAAAAGAAAUGGAGUCUGUAAUUUUAUUUUGCCUGUUCAAAGACUAGAAGUGAUAACUCAGAAAAGAUUGGCUUUGACCAAAGUUUUCUUUUUUUCAGAGAAAGACCCAUAAAAGCUUACUGAGCCACAGCCUUUUAAAAGGAGGCAAGGGCAAUAUUACAAUGAAAUUUGGCUUUCUAAAAGAGUAUCAUCCUCAUCUGGGUUUUCUGUUCCAUUAGAUCUAAGUCAUUGGAUGCACUGAACCACCGUAUGUAUAACAUUGGCCUACUUAAGAAAACAGUUGACUAAUUUAAAAUGCUAUUGCUAACUAGUGAGUAGUCUGAGAAUUAGCAACAUGCCUCACAUUUUUGUUUAGUGGCUGGGUGCAGUGUUGAUCUGAUAGCACAAGGGAGGUGAGGAGCAUUGGGAGUCCCAUUUCUUUCACUCAGUAGUGUUUUGUUGAUUUGCCACAGAGCCUUUAUGGCCAGUUUAGAGUCCUACUUCAGCUUUUAUGUUCCCAAUCCUUUGUUACCACCUCUCAUCUUGGAUCUUCUUUUUUCCACUUUGUUAACCAAUUUUAUGCAUUUACUUCAAUAAAAUGCUUACUGAGGG